GAUGAACGCUGGCGGCGUGCCUAAUACAUGCAAGUCGAGCGAACAGACGAGGAGCUUGCUCCUCUGACGUUAGCGGCGGACGUGUGAGUAACACGUGGAUAACCUACCUAUAAGACUGGGAUAACUUCGGGAAACCGGAUCUAAUACCGGAUAAUAUAUUGAACCGCAUGGUUCAAUAGUUAAAUACGGUUUUUCUGUCACUUAUAGAUGGAUCCGCGCCGCAUUAGAUAGUUGGUAAGGUAACGGCUUACCAAGGCAACGAUGCGUAGCCGACCUGAGAGGGUGAUCGGCCACACUGGAACUGAGACACGGACCAGAAUCCUACGGGAGGCAGCAGUAGGGAAUAGUCCGCAAUGGGCGAAAGCAUGACGGAGCAACGCCGCGUGAGUGAUGAAGGUCUUCGGAUCGUAAAACUCUGUUAUUAGGGAAGAAAAAAUGUGUAAGUAACUAUGCACGUAUUGACGGUACCUAAUCAGAAAGCAACGGCUAACUACGUG
This 497-nucleotide ribosomal RNA is filed under the name uncultured bacterium. RNAcentral describes it as "partial 16S ribosomal RNA". It matches the Rfam family "Bacterial small subunit ribosomal RNA", at positions 28 to 507 of the family's 1533-position model. The record is from RNAcentral.